GAUGAACGCUAGCGAUAGGCCUAACACAUGCAAGUCGAGGGGCAUCACAUGAAGUAGCAAUACGGAUGGUGGCGACCGGCGCACGGGUGAGUAACACGUAUGCAACCUGCCUUCAACAAGGGGAUAACCCGUUGAAAGACGGACUAAUACCCUAUAACACAGGGGUCCCGCAUGGGAAUAUUUGUUAAAGGACAACCGGUUGAAGAUGGGCAUGCGUUCCAUUAGCUAGUUGGCGGGGUAACGGCCCACCAAGGCAACGAUGGAUAGGGGAACUGAGAGGUUUAUCCCCCACACUGGUACUGAGACACGGACCAGACUCCUACGGGAGGCAGCAGUGAGGAAUAUUGGUCAAUGGACGCAAGUCUGAACCAGCCACGUCGCGUGAAGGAAGACGGCCCUACGGGUUGUAAACUUCUUUUGCAAGGGAAUAAAGUGGGCCACGUGUGGCCUUUUGCAAGUACCUUGCGAAUAGGAUCGGCUAACUCCGUGCCAGCAGCCGCGG
This 502-nucleotide ribosomal RNA is filed under the name uncultured bacterium. RNAcentral's name for it is "bacterial SSU rRNA". It matches the Rfam family "Bacterial small subunit ribosomal RNA", at positions 28 to 520 of the family's 1533-position model. The record is from RNAcentral.